AAGUCGUAACAAGGUUUCCGUAGGUGAACCUGCGGAAGGAUCAUUACCUUUCAAUGCAGCAGAAUUGGGAUGGUUGAGUAUCUCGCCUCUCCGUUCUGCCUGUAUUCUACCCUUGUUUGUCAUAUACUUUAUUUCCUCGGCAGGCUUGCCUGCCGAGUGAAACCAUUUAUAACCUUUUUAAUUUUCAAUCAGCGUCUGAAAAAAAUUAAUAAUUACAACUUUCAACAACGGAUCUCUUGGUUCUG
Molecule: unclassified non-coding RNA, 245 nt
Filed under: Paraphoma chrysanthemicola
Lineage: Eukaryota; Fungi; Ascomycota; Dothideomycetes; Pleosporales; Phaeosphaeriaceae
Description: partial internal transcribed spacer region
Rfam family: Eukaryotic small subunit ribosomal RNA (bases 1-46)
Source: RNAcentral